Molecule: transfer RNA, 74 nt
Filed under: Spirochaetes bacterium ADurb.BinA120
Lineage: Bacteria; Pseudomonadati; Spirochaetota
Description: tRNA-Ala
Rfam family: tRNA
About the family: Transfer RNA (tRNA) molecules are approximately 80 nucleotides in length. Their secondary structure includes four short double-helical elements and three loops (D, anti-codon, and T loops). Further hydrogen bonds mediate the characteristic L-shaped molecular structure. tRNAs have two regions of fundamental functional importance: the anti-codon, which is responsible for specific mRNA codon recognition, and the 3' end, to which the tRNAs corresponding amino acid is attached (by aminoacyl-tRNA synthetases). tRNAs cope with the degeneracy of the genetic code in two manners: having more than one tRNA (with a specific anti-codon) for a particular amino acid; and 'wobble' base-pairing, i.e. permitting non-standard base-pairing at the 3rd anti-codon position.
Source: RNAcentral
GGGGGCGUAGCUCAGUUGGGAGAGCGCUUGAAUGGCAUUCAAGAGGUCAGGGGUUCGAUUCCCCUCGUCUCCAC